RNAcentral lists this non-coding RNA (124 nucleotides) under Erythranthe guttata (spotted monkey flower). RNAcentral's name for it is "Mimulus guttatus (spotted monkey flower) Eukaryotic small subunit ribosomal RNA". It matches the Rfam family "Eukaryotic small subunit ribosomal RNA", at positions 1190 to 1479 of the family's 1831-position model. The record is from Rfam by way of RNAcentral. Lineage: Eukaryota; Viridiplantae; Streptophyta; Magnoliopsida; Lamiales; Phrymaceae.
UUAAUUUGACUCAACACGGGGAAACUUACUAGGUCCAGACAUAGUAAGGAUUGACAGACUGAGAGCUCUUUCUAUUUUUUUGAUUGAAGAUGUAAAUAGUAUAAAUCAAAAAAAGUCGUAGACA